Prosopis cineraria is the source of this 1695-nucleotide RNA transcript. RefSeq lists it as uncharacterized. The transcript is spliced from 4 exons. The record is from RefSeq and is a predicted model, not a curated record. NCBI's taxonomy places the organism in Eukaryota, Viridiplantae, Streptophyta, Magnoliopsida, Fabales, Fabaceae.
UAAUCUCAGAUAUGUUAGUUGAUAUUGUACCUUUGGCUGACCAUUGAGGGGCUGUAAUAUUUAGUUGAAGUGAAGAAUUGUAGAUCAAACUUCUUUUAAUGUAAAUUUAAAUUUAUAUAUUACAUUUUGUAAAUUCUUAUGUCAGGUGUUUCACAUAAGUUGUAGUUAGGGUCUUCAUUGUUAUUAUUUCUAUUUUGUUAUCUGCCAAUGCUUUUGUAAAAUGGUUGUAGAUUUGUUUUUGGGAGGAUUUAUUGAGAGGGGAGGUUUUACCGAAAUGUUUACAAGAAGUCUAAAUCUUUUAUUUAUAUAAAAAUGUUGAAAUGAAUUUCAAUCCUAUUUCAAAUAAAUUAAAAUAUCAUAUUAGAGUUUCUUUGAUUGAGGCUUAAGGAAUAUAUAUUUGUGUAUAUAUCCUAUGCCGGUCACGUUAUAUUUUCAGGGUGUGACAUUGGAUAUGAAAAUCUUAACAAUAUGAUCAUCAUGAAAAGUUUCAUGAAUCUGGAACCCUUAUACUUGUCUUCAUCCUUAAAAACAGGCUCAAGAAUUUUAUCAGGCAACGGCUUUGCUUUUUCAUCAUUCCUUCAUUGAGUUAUCAUAACAGCUCAUGCAUCUCAGCAAUAUUUUGAAUUUCAAAAAAGACAUGUUUGCGUGAGUAGUUAUGAUUCUUUCUCAUGCUUCUAUUUCAAGUGUGUGAUGAUCCCAUCCUCUCAAGAAAUCUUGUCCACAGAACCACAUGCUUGAAGCUUCCACAAUCUCCAAGCUCAUCUUCCCAUGUGCUGCUAUUCCUAGUUCUGGUCUUCAUCUUCUACAGCAUUUGAUGGUUGAGAAUAUGGUUCUGGACAUAUUAAUUGGAAUCCUUGCUGGUUGUAGGAAAGCUAGAGAUGCUGUCAAAGCUAUUAAAACAACAACAAAAAACGAAGGGGAAAAAAAAGGUUUUGUGCAAAUCCCAAAUAGCUAACUUUAGUUGGUGAAGGUGUUGUGAUGAAUAAUCCGUUCCUCUAAUGAACAAUACAAGAGAAGAGAUCAUGUUCAUAGUCAUGGAAGAAUCAUGUUUCCACACUGCAACUGUCAACAAAUUUAGUGGUCCAUCCUUUCUUGUUGAUUCUACUUGCACUGAUGUGAAGACAUUGGACAGUAGGAUGAGGCUGUUUGUUGUUGUUUAGAAAUUGGACAAGAGGGCACUCCAAGCAGGACUGAGCUGGCACAGAUGGAAAUCUGGUUUAGAAAGAGCUUACAGACCAAUUUCUUCACAUCAGUCAGUGAGAAGUGUUGAUGAACAAAAGCAAUGGAGAUCAUAUGUUCGUAAUCAACAACAGAGUGUGGCAAACGUGGAAAAUCUCUGAACUAGAAGAGCUUGUUAAUUGCUGUAUGUGCUGCUACAUUUUCUAUGGGAUCUUCUAGAAGUAUUUGCAGAGAGACCUAUUCAAGGUGUAUUGGAGAUUAUGAUACAUUUGCGUGUGUGUGUGUGUAUUGGUUUUGCUCAUAUUGAAAAUAGAACCACACAAGUUGUAGAAGGAUUCAAAAUCCUUUCAAAUAGAAAAUUUUCCUAUUCUCAUUUUUUGUUCCUUUUUGUACUUUUGGAAUAGAGAAAUCUGCUACACAACUUUUGUGUCUUGCAACAUGCACACACUUGAAAUUAGGAUGUACUAAGAAAAUUGUUAAACAAUCCUACUACAUGAAUCUUAUUGAUCAUAUGCU